AGAAAAGCGGCUGGGCAUGGUGGCUCACACCUGUAAUACCAACACUUUGGGAGGCCGAGGUUGGUGGAUCACCUGAGGGUCUCACUGUGUCACUCAGGUGGGAGUGCAGUGCCAUGAUCAUAGCCCACUGCUGCCUUGAUCUCCUGAGCUUAAGCGAUCCUCCCGGCCUCAGCCUCCAGAGUAGCUGGAACUACAGCUACUUGGAGUGUGAUGGGAGAGCCUGGUUUCUAAGGUAACCACAGACAGGAAGGUAGCAAGCUGGGGACGCUGAAGGGCACACCUGGAAGGUGACCCUGCAAACAAUGCAGACCUCUCACUGUGAGUAAAGGGCCUGGCAUGAUGCCUGUGACAAGGAGACAGCACAGGUAAUAAAAGGAAAGCCAACCACAGACCCUGGAGCCAGACUGCCUGGGUUCCAGCUCUGUGACUCUGGCACCCUAGGAGAAUGACAGCAACCUGGAGUUCAUCUCUUUAAAAGAAACACCAGUCAGGGAUGGAGAUGUCUGCUCAUGGGUGACAAGUUGCUUCUCUAGAAUUCACAUCGUGAACCACUCAAGGUUUUUCAUCACUGCUCUCCGUCAGCUAUUCAAUCAAGCAUUGAGUUUCUAGAAUCUCUCCCAGAAAUAAAAGCUGACCAUACCCACCUACCCACCUUUUUCUUUGCUUCUCACUACUUAAAGAUAAUCAGGUAUGAAUUCUAGCCUCAAUCUAUCAAUUA
Molecule: long non-coding RNA, 718 nt
Organism: Pan troglodytes (chimpanzee)
Lineage: Eukaryota; Metazoa; Chordata; Mammalia; Primates; Hominidae
Exons: 5
Source: RefSeq, a predicted model, not a curated record